CCUACGGGAGGCUGCAGUAGGGAAUCUUCCACAAUGGGCGAAAGCCUGAUGGAGCAACGCCGCGUGGGUGAAGAAGGUCUUCGGAUUGUAAAGUUCUGUGAUGGGGGAUGAACACAAUGACGGUACCCCAAUAGCAAGCCACGGCUAACUACGUGCCAGCAGCCGCGGUAAUACGUAGGUGGCAAGCGUUAUCCGGAAUGACUGGGCGUAAAGGUUGCGUAGGUGGUUUAGUAAGUUGGCGGUGUAAUUCCGGGGCUCAACCUCGGCGCUACCGCCAAAACUAUUAGACUAGAGUGCAGGAGGGGUAAGUGGAAUUCCUAGUGUAGCGGUGGAAUGCGUAGAUAUUAGGAGGAACAUCAGGGGCGAAGGCGACUUACUGGACUGUAACUGACACUGAGGCACGAAAGCGUGGGGAGCAAACAGGAUUAGAUACCCGAGUAGUC
Molecule: ribosomal RNA, 443 nt
Filed under: uncultured bacterium
Lineage: Bacteria
Description: partial 16S ribosomal RNA
Rfam family: Bacterial small subunit ribosomal RNA
Source: RNAcentral